UGGCAGGCUAAGCCAAGCGGUUACUUCGUUAGUGAUCUAUUCGGUAAUGAUGUUCUGCUUUUAACGGAAACAAGUUGGUUCGAUCCCAACCUAACGCCCAAAUCAACUGCUAGCGCAAUCCUGCUUUUUU
Molecule: vault RNA, 130 nt
Filed under: Macrostomum lignano
Lineage: Eukaryota; Metazoa; Platyhelminthes; Macrostomidae
Rfam family: Vault RNA
About the family: This family of RNAs are found as part of the enigmatic vault ribonucleoprotein complex. The complex consists of a major vault protein (MVP), two minor vault proteins (VPARP and TEP1), and several small untranslated RNA molecules.
Source: Rfam by way of RNAcentral